This 211-nucleotide ribosomal RNA is filed under the name uncultured Ignicoccus sp. Its description in RNAcentral is "partial 16S ribosomal RNA". It matches the Rfam family "Archaeal small subunit ribosomal RNA", at positions 1004 to 1224 of the family's 1478-position model. Lineage: Archaea; Thermoproteati; Thermoproteota; Thermoprotei; Desulfurococcales; Desulfurococcaceae. The record is from RNAcentral.
CCAGCUCGUGCCGUGAGGUGUCUGGUUAAGUCCAGGAACGAGCGAGACCCUCACCCUUAGUUGCGACCGCGAAAGCGGGCACACUAAGGGGACCGCCACCGUUAAGGUGGAGGAAGGAGGGGGCAACGGCAGGUCAGCAUGCCCCGAAUCACCUGGGCCGCACGCGUAAGCAAUGGUGGAGACAAUGGGAUCCGAACCCGAAAGGGGGAGG